GAUGAACGCUGGCGGCGUGCCUAAUACAUGCAAUUCGAGCGAACAGACGAGGAGCUUGCUCCUUUGACGUUAGCGGCGGACGGGUGAGUAACCCGUAGGUAACCUCCCUUUAAGACUGGGAUAACUUCGGGAAACCGGAGCUAAUACCGGAUAAUAUUUCGAACCGCAUGGUUCGUUAGUGAAAGAGGGCUUUGCUUUCCCUUAUAGAUGGACCUCCGCCGUAUUAGCUAGUUGGUAAGGUAACGGCUUACCAAGGCAACGAUACGUAGCCGACCUGAGAGGGUGAUCGGCCACACUGGAACUGAGACACGGUCCAGACCCCUACGGGAGGCAGCAGUAGGGAAUCUUCCGCAAUGGGCGAAAGCCUGACGGAGCAACGCCGCGUGAGUGAUGAAGGUCUUCGGAUCGUAAAACUCUGUUAUUAGGGAAGAACAAACGUGUAAGUAACUGUGCACGUCUUGACGGUACCUAAUCAGAAAGCCACGGCUAACUACGUG
Molecule: ribosomal RNA, 497 nt
Filed under: uncultured bacterium
Lineage: Bacteria
Description: partial 16S ribosomal RNA
Rfam family: Bacterial small subunit ribosomal RNA
Source: RNAcentral